GAUGAACGCUGGCGGCGUGCCUAAUACAUGCAAGUCGAGCGAACAGACGAGGAGCUUGCUCCUCUGACGUUAUCAGCGGACGGGUGAGUAACACGUGGAUAACCUACCUAUAAGACUGGGAUAACUACAGGAAACCGUGUCUAAUACCGGAUAAUAUAUUGAAUCUCGUUGGUCAAUAGUUGAAUAAGGUUUUUCUGUCACUUAUAGAUUGCUACGCCGCGCAUUAGCUAGUUGGUUAGGUAACGGCUUACCAAGGCAACGAUGGGUAGACGACCUGAGAGCGUGAUCGGCUACACUGGAAGUGAGACACGGUCCAGACUCCUACGGGAGGCAGCAGUAGGGAAUCUUCCGCAAUGGGAGAAAGCGUGACGGAGCAACGCCGCGUGAGUGAUGAAGGUCUUCGGAUCGUAAAACGCUGUUAUUAGGGAAGAACAAAUGUGUAAGUACCUAUGAACGUCUUGACGGUACCUAAUCAGAAAGCCACGGCUAACUACGUG
RNAcentral lists this ribosomal RNA (497 nucleotides) under uncultured bacterium. Its description in RNAcentral is "partial 16S ribosomal RNA". It matches the Rfam family "Bacterial small subunit ribosomal RNA", at positions 28 to 507 of the family's 1533-position model. The record is from RNAcentral.